RNAcentral lists this long non-coding RNA (685 nucleotides) under Aotus nancymaae (Ma's night monkey). Its description in RNAcentral is "lncRNA (ENSANAG00000038954.1)". The record is from RNAcentral. Lineage: Eukaryota; Metazoa; Chordata; Mammalia; Primates; Aotidae.
GCUGGCAGGUCCGCUGAGGCCGAGAGGUCCUGCGGGGCAGCCAGGCCCGGCAGCUCAGGAGUGCUAAGCUGGGACCACAUUCCCACCCAAGGGCCGCCGUCCUCCCCGGUGUCCAGGCCCAACACGGCCUGAGCCUGCUCCGCCUCAGUUUCCCCACUCUGAACUGAGGCUGCUGCUCUCUCGGGGCCGUUCCAGCACUGACUGGGGAGUGGGGGCUUUGUUCCCUUCAAGUCCUGUUCAUGGAGACUGCGACACCCAUGCCUCCCUCCCACCUGGACUCUGUCCUGUGGCACCAGGGUCGGGAGCAGCGCCAGGCACAGCAGGGAGCCAGAGCAGGAGAUCAGUGCAGCCCUCUGCCUGGGAGAGUGAAGUGGACCCUGUGUUGACACAUGGAAGACGUCGACAUGGCAGAGGAGCAGCUCACCAAAUGGCGGCCAUGGCGUUCCCUGCCAGCUGCCAGCACAGCCGUGAACAAGGCUUGGGGUCACACUUGCCGCGGGAUGGACACGCACGGUAGCGGCGUGGGACCCAUCUGCCUCUCUCUGAGUAGGAAACCCGCAGGUGCCACACACAGGUGCAGGGAAGGGGCGGGUCCCGGGUCUGAGGGUGGGCGGAGGGUACUGCUGCCGUUCCCCACACACGCAGCACACGCUGACCUGCACACUCCAGGCGCCCGCCCGGCCCA